Molecule: ribosomal RNA, 492 nt
Filed under: uncultured bacterium
Lineage: Bacteria
Description: partial 16S ribosomal RNA
Rfam family: Bacterial small subunit ribosomal RNA
Source: RNAcentral
AGUGAACGCUGGCGGUAGGCCUAACACAUGCAAGUCGAACGGCACCACUUUAAUAGCUUGCUUUUACGGGUGUCGUUUUGUGGCCGGGUGAGGAAUACAUCGGUAUCUACUUUUUCGUGGGGGUUAACGUAGGGAAACUUACGCUAAUACCGCAUCCGACCUACGGUUGAAAGACGGCAUUCUUCGGUCCUUGCGCGAUUGCAUGAGCCGAUGUCGGUUUAGCUAGUUGGCGGUGUAAAGGCCCACCGAGGCGACGAUCCGUAGCCGGUCUGAGAGGAAGGUCAGACAGACUGGAACUGAGACACGGUCCAGACUCCCACGGGAGGCAGCAGUGGGAAAUAUUAGAGAAUGGGGGCAAGCCUGAUACAGCCAUACCGCGUAGGUGAAGAAGGACUGAGGGUUGUAAAGCCCUUUUGUUGGGAAAGAAAAGAAGCAGGUUAAGAAGGCGAUGUUAUGACGGUACCCAAAGAAGAAGCACCGGCUAAAUUCGUG